RNAcentral lists this ribosomal RNA (429 nucleotides) under uncultured bacterium. Its description in RNAcentral is "bacterial SSU rRNA". It matches the Rfam family "Bacterial small subunit ribosomal RNA", at positions 355 to 775 of the family's 1533-position model. The record is from RNAcentral.
UGGGGAAUUUUCCGCAAUGGGCGAAAGCCUGACGGAGUGACGCCGCGUGUGGGACGAAGGCCUUCGGGUCGUAAACCACUGUCAGUGGGAAAGAUGGGUGUCGGCGUGAACAGCGCCGAUGCUUGACGGUACCUGCAGAGGAAGCCCCGGCCAACUCUGUGCCAGCAGCCGCGGUAAGACAGAGGGGGCAAGCGUUGCUCGGAAUUACUGGGCGUAAAGGGCGCGUAGGCGGAAUGGCAAGUCGGUCGUGAAAUCCUUCGGCUCAACCGAAGAACGUCGAUCGAAACUGCCGUUCUUGAGGAUUGCAGAGGAGACUGGAAUUCCCGGUGUAGCGGUGAAAUGUGUAGAGAUCGGGAGGAACACCGGUGGCGAAGGCGGGUCUCUGGGCAAUUCCUGACGCUGAGGCGCGAAAGCGUGGGGAGCAAACGG